AGGUUGGAUAAGACCUCUAAGAUCGUCAAGUCCAACCAUCAGCUCAUCCCCACUGUGCCCACUAAACCAUGUUGCUCAGUGGGGAUACUUGUCAUAUGGAAGAACGUGCAGCCUUGAAAUGGGAUCCAGACCACCCAAUGGCACUGGUUUGCACAUCGCUCUGCUGCUACUGGAGCUACAUGAGUGCACACCAGCAGACAACCCAACACUUACAGAUGCAGAUGAAUAAAUGGAUAUGUGACUGGAUGUUGCAAGAGAUGCGUAUUCAGCAUUUUUGAUCAAAAAAAGAGCAGUUUUUUUCUUGCCAGCUUUAAAAGGAUCAGUUGGCUUUUGCAACGUGCUCACCAAGAAGCCUGCAGAGAGAAAUCCAGCAUGAGUGAAAAUCAACUGAGCAACAUCACAACUAUGUGAAAGGGAAGCAGUAAAAGGAAGGUGUAUCUCACCACUGUUCACUUCUAAUGGGAGUGGAAGCAUUGCACACUCAGGUGCCAAAAUGAGGACCCGAGGGAGAAUUAUCUCAUACAAAUCAAGCAGGAUGCCUGCUGCAGGCCAGCUGAGAGGACAUGACUGUGCCCCAGGGACGAGGGCGCAAUGUCUCCUCGCCGCAUCUCUUAGAGCAGGAUCUGGAAGACAAGGUUGAGGUCCCUCGUGGGCUCCCAUCCCACAGACAGCUGUGUCUGCAGAAGGGUGACCAGCAGACAACAAGGCAGACCUCUGGUUCCUGAUGAUGGAAAACAGAAGAAAUGUGGAAAUAUGCUGUGGCAAGCCACAAGUCUUUAAGAUCCCUUCAAACACUGCCAAAAAUUAAACAGGAGAAAUGCAGGUCCCUGAGCCUGCCGUGAUGGGAGCACUGGGACUGUGAGAGGAGGUGAUCUAUGGCAUGUCCCACCGAUCCCCACACCAGGACCACAGUGCAAAGGGACUGUAAACCCCGAGCUCCUUCCUGCCCUGGACAUGGACUUUCACAGUCAGCAAGAGGAUGGAGAAGAGCAGAGAGAUGCCAGCAUGAAACUGGUCAGAGCCACCACCUGGCUGCCAUGAGUCUCCUGCAGGCUGAGGAAGGUUGUCCUAAGCCAUAGGCACUGUAUCCAGGUGUAUUCUUUGUGCAGUAACUUUUCUCCUGGGAAAGAACACGACUUUAUGGCAGACAGGAAUGCUGACCCACUUGUCUUCUGCUGCAAGCAUCCAUCAAACCUGGCCUCUGUGUCCCCUGGAGCCUUAAUUUUCCUCUUGACAGCAAAGACAAAUGACCGCCGCAGGGCUGUUUGCUCAUAUCUGCUCAAGGUUUCCAUAACAUUUCUUAAAGAUGAGCUGUCUUUUAAACACACAUGGAGUUUUCUCUCUGCUGUCACCUACCAGCAUGAAAGCAGAGUCAGCAGGGAGAGGUGAAUCCCAUUUCAUCCACCAGAGCAAGAAGAGGUGUUUGAAGGUGGAACCAGACUGAGCUUUACUCUUGGGGAUGGAGCUGAGAUCCGGAUAAAAGCAACUGGGAGUGGGACAGUUGUCCCUCACUUUGUGAUGCUGUCCUGGAACCCCAUCACCAAGGGAACAAAGCAGACAUGGGAUGGUGCUCUCCCUACAGGCUUUCUCUUCUCCCAUGCUUCUUGGGUACCUGAGCAUUCAGGAGCACUGCUCGUCUACCAAGAUUUUCAGGAGAUCAUAAAUCAGAGUAAAUCAGCUGUGGGAGUCUCAUGUCUUUGGUUUGGAAUCUGUCAAGGAAACUCAUGCAAUUGGUACAUUUAACCUCAGAUCAGAUCAACACAGAAACAGAAGAAAGCUUUGAUGACAGCAAAGUGUAUGCUGAGAAGAAGGAGAAUGUGAAUUAUUCAGCCAUCUCCACAGGAUAUUUUCCAUAUUACAGAUCAAAUGAGGAGCAGUUUGUCCAGCCUCUCUUAUAUGGCUUAAAUGCAGAGGGAGAUAAGCCUGACAACAACUGGAAAGAUGAAGGAGAAGGUGGAUGUGCAGAGCUUGGUGGAGAUGUUGAGAAGACCACCCACCCAACUCUGGGGACAGAGAGGAGGCCAUGUUCUUCCAUGACCAAUGUAGAGCCAACAUCCCAGCAGCUCCUAGGAGGCAGCAACUUGGGAAGCUGCCUGUCAACCUUCUCCCUGUCCAGCACACCGCCAGGCCUGGACCAGCCCUUUUCUUCCAGUGGAUAUUUCCCUUACUACAGAACAGAAGCAGAGCUCUGCAUCGGCCCAGCAAUGUGUGACAAGUUUCUCACCAGGACAGAAGUUUCGGAGAAUGAAGAGGGAAGACAGGUGGAAGAAAAAAACACUUGGAAUUUUGGUGCCAGAUGCCUGGUGUCCUGAGAACAAAGCAGCAAGUUUGUCAGCAAAAGACAGAGGCUGAUUUAACACAGACGUGAAUUAGAAGUUCUUGAAAGCUAUAGCCACAUGAACAUCUGUAUGAAUAUGGAAUAAAAUAUACACCUCCCUUUGAAUUAAA
RNA transcript from Numida meleagris (helmeted guineafowl), 2448 nucleotides. RefSeq lists it as uncharacterized. The record is from RefSeq and is a predicted model, not a curated record. Lineage: Eukaryota; Metazoa; Chordata; Aves; Galliformes; Numididae. The transcript has 11 exons.